Molecule: ribosomal RNA, 253 nt
Filed under: uncultured bacterium
Lineage: Bacteria
Description: partial 16S ribosomal RNA
Rfam family: Bacterial small subunit ribosomal RNA
Source: RNAcentral
UACGGGGGGGGCAAGCGUUGUUCGGAAUUACUGGGCGUAAAGGGCGCGUAGGCGGUUCGAUAAGUCAGCUGUGAAAACCAUGGGCUUAACUCAUGGCCUGCAGUUGAGACUGUCGGGCUGGAGUGUGGGAGAGGAGAGUGGAAUUCCUGGUGUAGCGGUGGAAUGCGCAGAUAUCAGGAGGAACACCGAUGGCGAAGGCAGGUCACUGGGCCGCAACUGACGCUGAGGAGCGAAAGCAUGGGGAGCGAACAGG